UAUCUCUGGGUAGAGUUUCGAAAAUUGUAUGAUUAAAAUAAGAGUCAAUGCGGUGUCAUCUUACUUCGUUUCUCGCGAUAAGUCGUCAUUGCUGUGAACCUUGAUUGUCAUUAUUGAUAUUGCCUGGAAUCACUGAGGUUGCUGCCGCGAGUUAGGAAUAGAAAGAGGACUCUUGACGCGUUAACUUUAAAGGGGUCAACUUUGAGGUAGGGGCUUUUCUAAAAAGCUAUUUUUU
Molecule: non-coding RNA, 235 nt
Organism: Arachis ipaensis
Lineage: Eukaryota; Viridiplantae; Streptophyta; Magnoliopsida; Fabales; Fabaceae
Source: RefSeq, a predicted model, not a curated record